RNAcentral lists this ribosomal RNA (491 nucleotides) under uncultured bacterium. RNAcentral describes it as "partial 16S ribosomal RNA". It matches the Rfam family "Bacterial small subunit ribosomal RNA", at positions 29 to 506 of the family's 1533-position model. The record is from RNAcentral.
AGUGAACGCUGGCGGUAGGCCUAACACAUGCAAGUCGAACGGCAGCACAGUAAGAGCUUGCUCUUACGGGUGGCGAGUGGCGGACGGGUGAGGAAUACAUCGGAAUCUACUUUUUCGUGGGGGAUAACGUAGGGAAACUUACGCUAGUACCGCAUACGACCUACGGGUGAAAGCAGGGGAUCUUCGCACCUUGCGCGAUUGAAUGAGCCGAUGUCGGAUUAGCUAGUUGGCGGGGUAAAGGCCCACCAAGGCGACGAUCCGUAGCUGGUCUGAGAGGAUGAUCAGCCACACUGGAACUGAGACACGGUCCAGACUCCUACGGGAGGCAGAGGUGGGGAAUAUUGGACAAUGGGCGCAAGCCUGAUCCAGCCAUACCGCGUGGGUGAAGAAGGCCUUCGGGUUGUAAAGCCCUUUUGUUGGGAAAGAAAAGCAGCAGGUUAAGACCCCGCUGUUCUGACGGUACCCAAAGAAUAAGCACCGGCUAACUUCGU